AAAGUUGUUGAAAAUUCCAGUUGAGAGGUGUAACCAGUUUGUGGGUUACAGGAAGUGAUUGUCUGCAGUUAUUUUUUCCAAAGGGCAACCAAAAAUUAAGUUGAGGUUGCCAAUAAUUUUGUCCAGACCAGUUUUUGAGUUUUUUGAGAAAAGCUGUCAAAUGUGGCUUUUUUCUGCUUUUUUGUGUUGAUAAAGGACAAAAACAUAUGUACACCAAGACAUUUGUAAUUGUAAAAAUUUUCUGGAAAAAUUCCAGCCAUAGCUGUACAUCUAUACUCGAGCACUCAAAAGAUUUAUACGAUGUGUUUCAUUCCCCCAUCCUAGUGUUUUCUAACUAAGAUUCACAUGUUGACAAAGAUGAAGAGAGAAACUUGUGAUCCAGUAUCUUGCCCAAGGAUACCUUGGCUCAUUUCUAAUACAUCUCCUUAAAAUGUCUGUAAAAAUACAACAAAUGGACUCAGACAGAUCUGAAGAGGUUUAGAUUCAUGUCUGCCUCUUACUGUGUAUAAUAUUAAUGUAAACCAGUACAAACAGGACAGGCUGUUGUUGCAGAGUCCUACCUGAGCCCCACAGCAGCAGCAGAACCAGCAGCAGGUGAUCCAUGUCAGGUCCGCGUCCGUCUCCUCUCGGUCUGUCCGACUCUUCAGCUCUCUGCUAAUAAACUGCUGUUUCCUCUUCAUCUGUUAUCUACUUAUCAGCCAACUGAUGAGCAGCUUCUCACAACUGAAACGCCACAGAUUAAAGAUCAGCUGGCCCUCGGGUGAGUAGAUUUCAUCAUGCCAGACUCUGAGAUGUUGACUCAACUGUAACGAUGUGAAGUGUUCGGGGUCCGAUGUUCUGACCCAGGCUGUGUCGAGCUCGGUUUAACAAUCACAUCAGGGGCGACACAUAUAUGCUUCAACCGCACAGCUGCUUCACACACCUGAACGUGACGUUUAAUGACACACAGCACGUCCUCAUUAAAGCUAAACAACCACACUUCUAUUUCCUUUUUGUACAUGUUCCUCCAAGUCUCACACAGCCUGCUUCACAGAUCCGAGUAUGAAAACUCACCUAUGUGGGAAAUUGUUUAAUAAACAAUGUAUUUCAAAGGUUGUUGUUAAUGUAUCUUAAUGCAUGCUCAAUCAUCCAGGUAAAUCACCCGAGGAGAAAGACAGAUUCUUGCAAAAUGGUUGAACUUUGCAGUGACGCUGAGACAAAUCCCACUAGUGGAACUGAUCACAGCCACAGAAACAGCAGUUCGAAACAACAACACUGCUGAUGAAAGUUUCGGCCUGUCUCAGCAAUGCAAAGCCCCCAGCAUCCAACAUCAGCAUGGAGGAGAGGAAGGCUCUCACAUCACUUAGUAAUGAAACAGCAUUAUCAUCCUUCCAGCAGACAAGGGUAGGUGCACAGCUCUGCUAAACCAGAAAGACUAUCAUGAGAAAAUGCUGUCACUGCUCAGUGACGAAAAUACUUAUGAGCCCCUGAAACGAGACCCAGGAAGUGGCUACAGGAAGAGGGUGAUAGACUGUCUGAAGCAGUUAGAACAAGACAAGGCUAUCGACCGGACCUCAUACCACAGGCUGUACCCAGGGGAGUCUACACCAAGCCUGUAUGGUUUACCGAAGAUACAUAAACAGGGUGCACCUUUAAGACCAAUUGUCUGCAUGAUCAACUCUGUCACCUAUAACAUCUCCAAGUGUCUGGCUUCGAUCUUCAACCUGCUGGUAGGCAGCUCUGAACACCACAUCCAGCACCGACCAAGUGUGUUUGAACUGUGUCUUCAUUCCACCUACUUCACAUACAAGGGUCAAGAACAGCACAUCAAGAAGGCCCUGAGUAAAUGUGGUUAUCCCAGCUGGACUUUUGUCAAAGCUGGGAAGGCACCUAAAGAAAGCUCCAGCUGAUCCAGGAGAGAAGGACAACCGCUGCCUGAGCGAAAACCUGUAGUGAUCCCAUAUGUGUCAGGAGUAUCGGAGCAGUUGAGACGCAUUUUUUCUAAACACCGGGUCUCUGUGGCUUUUAAACCCCAAAACACGUUGCGCCAAAAACUGGUCCACCCCAAGGAUCGGGUCCCCCGACACAAACAGAGUAACAUAGUGUACGCUGUUAAGUACCAGGAUUUAUACAUCGGGGAAACCAAACAACCUCUGGCUACAACACAGAAGAACCACCUCGUCAGCCCAGGACUCUGCAGUCUAUUUAGACCUGACAGUGUUUUAAUAGUUUUUAUUAACUCUGCUGAUAAUUUUUAUGUGUUUGUAUAUUUCUGUUUUCUUCUGUCUGAACUUCAAUUUUCUUCCUGUUUGAGUUUGUGAUGGUCCGCAGCUUGGCGUCUGAGGAGCGUUUGGAAUGCCCAGAUGGCCACACCUUCGGGUGGGGCUGUCAUCUCCACACCUGCAUCCCAUUCCAGGCGAUCAUCAGGAGGACGAUUUAACCCCGCACGGCCGGCUGCUUAACACCAGUCCAUCAGUCGCCAUUCAGUGGUUAUUGUCCGGCGUGUUUGUACCUUCACCUGCCUGUCCUCCUGUCCGCCUGGAUUUCAGAGAAACGGCCUAUCAUCCUCUCCUGCGGACACUCACCCCUCCCUCCGGUUUCCACGGUGCGGCCCCGAUUGUAAGAUAAAUAGUUCUACCCCUGGUGUAUGCCGUUAUCUCCCUGCUCUCCAGUAACUCUCUCCCCUUUCUGUUGCAGCCUCCCACGAUCCCGUUCACGCCGUCCCCGUGUCGUUUAUUUUCCGGUCUCUUCUGUUCAGCGCU
Molecule: long non-coding RNA, 2741 nt
Organism: Oreochromis aureus
Lineage: Eukaryota; Metazoa; Chordata; Actinopteri; Cichliformes; Cichlidae
Source: Ensembl